Long non-coding RNA from Marmota monax (woodchuck), 3402 nucleotides. RefSeq lists it as uncharacterized. Lineage: Eukaryota; Metazoa; Chordata; Mammalia; Rodentia; Sciuridae. The record is from RefSeq and is a predicted model, not a curated record. The transcript has 5 exons.
UUCUGAAAUGGAAAAUUCCAGAUAUUCUCCAUUCCUGUUUCAAAUAUGCAUCACUGUGGCAUCAUUAUGACCAAUCUCCCCACCAAGAGAAACUGACAGGAGCAAAAGUUGGUUUUGGCUCAUGAUUUCAGAGGUCUGAGUCCAAUCUGGGAUGGCCCCAUGGCUCUGGGUCUCAGCGAAGGCAGAACAAAAUGGCGGACAGGCUUGGUGGAGGAAAGCUUCUUCACUCAGGGAAGACAGGAAGCAGCAGAAAUAAAACACAGGAGUCGAUGCAAAAUACAAAAUCUAACUCUCUCAUCUAUCUUCUUCCUAGUAAUGAAAAUAUCUAAGAAAGAAAACCAGAGUGGAAACAUUUUUUUCCAAAGACAGCCAAAGACUUGAAAAUGACCCUUUGGUCAACAAUGGGCCACCUAUCUCCUCUGGUUCCUUCCACCGAAUUCCUACUGUCCAGUGCCGUCCUACUGGGAGGGUUUCAGCCUAACAUGGUUGAGAGCAAAAUCAUGAAAAGAUAAGACCUGUUCCCUGCAGAACAUAAACAUCUUAUGUUGGCGCUGGGAUAUGGACAGAUACAACCAGAAGGUGGCUGUCUGCAAACCAGGAAUAGAGUCCUUACCACAGACAACAUCCACCAGCAAUUGGAUCUUGGACUCUUCAGCCUCCAGAACUGCGUAUAAUACUUCCACGUAUUGUGUGAAAAUCGAAUGGAGAUAUAGAGCAUCUUCAUCUCCUCACACAUUCAUCAUUCCUUGGUGAAGGAAAUGAGAAAACAAGUGGCUUCCCACUGGCUUUGGAAGUUCUGUCCAGAAUAAGACUCAUCAUUUUCACACGUGUGUCUGGGAACCAGAGAUGAGGGGAGAACACCCAUCAAUGAGGAACGGAGAGGUGCGGUCUACAUCCGUGGAUGAAGGAACCGCAUCAUAAACUGUUGUGAGUUUUUUGAGGGCCGUUAAAAAAAUGAGCACAAACAUGGCGGCUUGGCACCACCCCAAUCUGAUGAUCUUGCACCUUGAGAUGUUCCAAGUGCAUGGAUCUCACUUAGCCAAGAUGGACAGGUGGGCUGGUGGGUGCCUUCCUACAGAUUCAGGAGAACCAUUCAUCUUCUCAACGCUCCACCUGUCAUUCCCUGGUUCCAUGUUCUUCUUCUCCGCCAUCUUGGCCAACGACGUUGCAUGGAUUAAACCAUCUUUUCAGCAUUCCUUAUUCUUCAAAUUCUUGAGGAGUCCCAUGUCCUGAUGUCACCAUGUUUUGACCACAGUGAAUUUUUUUUUUGAAAUGGUUCAUUGUAGGGUGCUCUCCAGCCUCAUUGGCUUGUAUCCAUUGGAUGCUACCAGCGUGUAGCUGGGAGUCCCCUGGGGUCCAUUUUUAAGGGGCCUUGUUAGGUUUAAAAUCUGGGUUUAAUCCAUCAGUGGAUUAAUCCAUCCACACCUGGAUGGAUGACGGUGGCUGGUGGGAAUGGUGGGCAGGUGGGACAUGGAUGGAGAAAGUGAGGCACUGGGAGCAUGUCCUUGGGGAAUAUACCUUGUCCCAAGUCCCUUUAUCUGUGAUUCUCAUCCACUCCCUUCUGCCAUCUUGUUCUUGCUUACCUCAGACUUUAACAUGGAUCCUGAGAGUCGGGACUGACACAUUCUGACCACAGUAGAAACACACAUCAGCCUCUGACCUUUGCAUGUGGGGCUUUCUGAGCCAGGGAUAUUGCACGAUGCACCUGGAAAACCAGUGGACUAGAUGUCCACUAAAGAUUUGCUGCACACAGAUGGAGAAUGGAAGUCCAGAGUGUGUUGGCCUUUGUGGAAGACCCCACUGGACAUCCUCCAGCUGAGGUGUCCUCCCCAAACCACCAUCAGGGGUUCAACUUCUUCUAUCUCACAAUUGGGGUGGACAUUAGGUUCCAAUAGAUCCCAACAAGUGGGGACCUCCAUGGACCAUCCAUUCCUCACCAGAGACAAAGAUGGCGGCCAAAAGGUUGCAGAUCAUGCAAGACAGGAUGGAGCCCUCCAAAUCUGGACUGAAUCGAGGGAGACCUUCAAUGGAAUGGACAGAGAUGGUCCAAAUCACCUCUUGGGGAUCUGUUUUGGUUCCAUAUGCAACAUAAAAAAAAAUCCCCUGGGGUUUUGUUUGAUUCCAGUGACUUAGACUCAUUAUGCAUCUCUGGAACCGAGUGAGCAGCUCACUGAUUUUUUUAUGUGCUCAGAUAUAUUUUGUAGAGUAUUGGAAACAAAAAGAGGUGGUGCCUCCCAGUUAUAUCCAUCCCCAUUGGCAGAAUCACCCAGAAAAAACAAAAAAUCUUGCCAUUGACAUAUGGGUUUCCGUCCUUCGGGUGAACUCAAAGUCGAUCUCAAGAGAAUAAUGGGAAAAGGAGAAAAAUAGUGAUAAAUGUUCCCCGGGUUCUGCUGGUUUUAAUUAAAACAUUUGUCAUCCCUGAAACUAAUUAGUCAUUACAUAAGAACUUUAUUAUGGCUGCGCCGGAGAAACAUUACCCCGGCUUUUCUGAGCGAAAUUGAAUCUCGAGUAAAUAAUUGUUUAAGUCAGAAUUAAUCACUCCAUAAAUUAUGUAGCCACCGAUGGCUUUAAUGAACUUAUGUUUGUUAAUAAAUGUGUCGAGGUCUUCUCUGCGUUCACACUAACAGGACAAUCGCUUAAUAACUUUAUCGGACACCAAAGUAAAUGAUGCAAUGACUUUAGAUGGGUUAAAAAAAAACAUGUUUCCUAUGCGGGGUGUCUGAGAAUGUCGUGGCUAUUUGGAAGUGAUUGGGUUUUGGUGGUAGGCACCAGAGGACCAAGCAGAUACUGUGGGAUGCGGAUAUGGAUCAAGAGGAAGGUCAGAUGUCCCAAGUUCAGUAAAUGCUAUCAUGGCUCAGUAUGAGGAGCCCCUGGAGUGAUGGUUACCUGCAAUCAUGGCCAGUGGGCAAGUCUUCCAAAGAGAGCCAUACUGCGGAGUGGACCCAUGGGUCCCAGGAGAUCCUACGGCAGAGCAAUGUCCAUCAUCGGCACGGACAACCUGGUGAGGACAGGUUGCUAGACAAAGUGUCCAGGGUUGUCCUGCAGAGCCCUUAGGCAAAACCCAAAUUAUCAUCACUGUCAUUUCCCCUUGAAGAAAAUUCCUCAAGAAACUAGGAAGGGAACCACCAUUUGACCCAGCCAGUCCACUCCUCCAUCUAUACCUAAAGGACUUAAAAUCAUCAUGGUAUAAUUACACAGCCACAUCAAAGUUGAUAGCAUCUCAACUCACAAUAGCUGAACUAUGGAACCGACCUAGGUUCCCUUCAGUAGAUGAAUGGAUAAAUAAAAUGUGGUGUAUACACAAUGGAAUAUUACUCAGUCAUGAAGAAGAAUGGAAUGAUGGCAUUUGCAGGAUACAGUUGAAGACUAUCAAGCUGAGUGAAAUAAGCCAAUCCCAAAUCA